Molecule: ribosomal RNA, 432 nt
Filed under: uncultured Acinetobacter sp.
Lineage: Bacteria; Pseudomonadati; Pseudomonadota; Gammaproteobacteria; Moraxellales; Moraxellaceae
Description: bacterial SSU rRNA
Rfam family: Bacterial small subunit ribosomal RNA
Source: RNAcentral
UGGGGAAUAUUGGACAAUGGGGGACCGGUAGCAUCCAGCCAUGCCGCGCUGUGUGAAGAAGGCCUUAUGGUUGUAAAGCACUUUAAGCGAGGAGGAGGCUCUUUUGGUUAAUACCCAAGAUGAGUGGACGUUACUCGCAGAAUAAGCACCGGCUAACUCUGUGCCAGCAGCCGCGGUAAUACAGAGGGUGCGAGCGUUAAUCGGAUUUACUGGGCGUAAAGCGUGCGUAGGCGGCUUUUUAAGUCGGAUGUGAAAUCCCCGAGCUAACUUGGGAAUUGCAUUCGAUACUGGGAAGCUAGAGUAUGGGAGAGGAUGGUAGAAUUCCAGGUGUAGCAGGUGAAAUUGCGUAGAGAUCUUGGAGGAAUACCGAUGGCGAAGGCAGCCAUCUGGCCUAAUACUGACGCUGAGGUACGAAAGCAUGGGGAGCAAACA